Long non-coding RNA from Cucumis sativus (cucumber), 945 nucleotides. RefSeq lists it as uncharacterized. The record is from RefSeq and is a predicted model, not a curated record. The transcript is spliced from 3 exons. Lineage: Eukaryota; Viridiplantae; Streptophyta; Magnoliopsida; Cucurbitales; Cucurbitaceae.
GGGUGUUAGUGAAUAAUAUGAGUUAGAUUUCCGGUUGCCAUCAUCCCCUUAGGGUUAGGUUAAAAGAAAUAAAAGAAAAACGUCUCUCAGCGGCGACAUCUCGUUACGCACUCUCUCUACCUUUCGCGCCUCCCGAUCUCUCGCGCCCAUCAACGUUACCUCUUGCUCCGCCUUCUCCGACGCCUACACGCCGCCGGCUACUGCAGCUGCAACCGGAAGCUACCAGUCACCACCGUUCAGACGACGUCCGACAUCCCUCAGGACAGUAGCCAGUCCGUUGCCCAGCAAGUGUUUUGCACGUCAGUCUAGCUGAUCUUAUUGUAUAAAUGCCAAAGAAGAAAUCUUCUAAAACGCCUAAAAAGAUCCCAGAGAAUGCCUCUACGAAACAGGAGAAGUCCAAUGCCGUGGUAAAAGGUGAAAAUCCCAAUUCCGUAGUGAAAGAGGAAAAGCCCCCAUCAGUAAAGAAACACAGUGAGAUCGAUGAAAUUUUUGCUGGGAAGAAGAGGAAAAAGCCCGAAGUUGGGAAGACCGAGGAGCCAAAACUAGAUGCACAAGACAGACCGAAAAAGACAAAGAACAAGAAAAAGGAUGAAGCUCAAUCCAGAAAUGGAUUUGCAGACCCACAAUCGCGGCGAAGAAAGAAAACUGGGGAUGGGCUUACAAUUUACACCGAAGAGGAACUGGGUUUUGGCAAUGCAGAUGCUGGAGGCACCCCGCUCUGCCCAUUUGACUGUAAUUGUUGCUUCUAAACAUCCUCAAUGUUCGAUUUUGAUCAAGAGGUCGUUUCUCUAUCUAGUAAAACAUCUGUUACAUCUUCCAUUUCUGUGAAUCAAUUUUUCCAAUUUUAUUGAGCAGUUUAUUUGUUUCCAUAACGGCUGUGCAUUGGAGGCGAUCAUCAUUUUAGAUUAUAUAAUUAUGAAGCACAGAAAAGUAUAAAAUUUUGAA